ACUUCUUUAUUACUAUGGAUAUAUUACUCUGUUACAUCUAGAGGCUCUAGACUCGUGACUCCAGAUCUAUUGGGAAAUGUUUGCUAUUUUAAGCAUUAUUUAUUAACGGAUUGCGUAUUUGGGUUGAGAGUAUUUAAUUGGUCGGGCUUUCCUAGCAUUAGUGUUGGGCGCCAUCAUGACCGGGAUUGGGGUCGUGACACUAGGUGGUCGAGUGAUCAAGAAGUUAUAUUCUCCAAGCUUAGGGUGAGGUCUGACGAGAAAGAUGAAACAUAUAUAGCAGCCUCCUUAUCAAUUUGGCUAUGUGCUUUUGUGUUUCCCUAUAAGGCAGAGAACUUCUUUCGUCCCGAGACUUUUAAGAUGGCAAGCAAAUUCUUCCCAGCUUGAUCAGGUCAAAAUUUGUUUUCCCAUCCAUUAUGUUUACGGUUGGCUUGCACAUUACCUCAAAACCCAUUAUCCACUUGCGAAGGGUCCGUCUGUCCCUUUCAUGGCAGCAUACUCAGGAGAGGAGCUGCGAGGAAUUUUGACAAGAAGGGUGCAAGAAAAUACAUCCACAAUGGGGAGGUUAUAGUUUGGACAUCAACAAUGUUAACCAAUUAUCGUCCUUAUUAUUAUGUGGAUAACGAUGCCCCUCAAGAGAUUAAAUUACUUCACGAGCUUAUGUUUUAAUAACCUCCCUCUAAGGUAUGAUAACUCAUUCAUCAUCUAGCCAUAUAGGUUGCAUCGGUUCGGUCGUCAAUUUGUGUUUUAGAACGUUGUCGAUUUUUUGGAGAAUGAUAUCUGUAGCGCCUCUCUAGAUAAAGGACUCAUGUUGAGUUAUCCAUCGUCCCCGGCAGUUCAUGCGGAUCUACCACAGGCGGCGUCUUCGUCCCAGCCCAUCUUUGAGGACACUACAUGCGGUGAUGAGCACACCAUGGAUACAUAUACCCGGAGGUCGACGAGACCAUGGUUGCUGACGGCCCGACGGCCUAUUCUUCCGAUCCUGCCAGUUGUAGGGUUGAUGCUGCUGCACAUCCUCACAUAAGGAGGCGGCUUGAUGAUGAUGAUCCAGAUAGUGUGCCCGGGCGACAGGGGAUGCGACUUAGGCCAGCAGCAGCACUGAAGCACACAGGCUGCGACACUCACUGAUUUACUUAUGUAUUAACUUUGUGUAAAUAGUGCUUUAUGUAAAUAAU
Molecule: long non-coding RNA, 1172 nt
Organism: Nicotiana attenuata
Lineage: Eukaryota; Viridiplantae; Streptophyta; Magnoliopsida; Solanales; Solanaceae
Exons: 3
Source: RefSeq, a predicted model, not a curated record